CCCUUAGAUGUUCUGGGCAGCACGCGCGCUACAAUGGUCUUCGCAAACGGAUGCAUUCUCGAAGGAGAAUGCCAAUCUUGGAAUCUAUACCUUGGUCGGGACAGUUGCUUGCAAUUUUUCGACUCGAACCAGGAAUUCCUUGUAAUCGUGAUUCAUCACAUCACGAUGAAUACGUCCCUGCCCUUUGUACACACCGCCCGCCGCUCCUACCGAUCGAAGAGUUAGGUGAAUUGUUUUGAUCGAUAAGAUUUGACUAUGGUCAACUCUCGUUGUGAAAUUCUGUGAAUCUGACUGUUUAGAGGAAGGAAAAGUCGUAACA
Molecule: ribosomal RNA, 319 nt
Filed under: uncultured eukaryote
Lineage: Eukaryota
Description: partial 18S ribosomal RNA
Rfam family: Eukaryotic small subunit ribosomal RNA
Source: RNAcentral